Molecule: long non-coding RNA, 1555 nt
Organism: Oreochromis aureus
Lineage: Eukaryota; Metazoa; Chordata; Actinopteri; Cichliformes; Cichlidae
Source: Ensembl
GUGGGUUAAUAUAGGCUAAACUUUGGUUUUUUGCAGUUGUUUUCCAGUCUUACUGAUAAAAGUGUCUGGUCAGAUUCUCAUAGUUAGACUGAUACAUGCCGGGGUUUAGCCUGAUUGUUGAUGUUAGGGUGAAUCCAGAUAACAGAAAGAGAUCCUGGGUAUGCUGAACUUGCCUCAGAAGCCAUGACCCUUUGUUGCCUGCUUGCUUGCAGUGGAUAAAAAGAGCUUAUAAACUGCACAGAUAUGAUUCCCUCUGCAACUUGGACAUCCCCGUCAUUAACAUGGAACUGGACAGUAUUUUUGACUUGACCCACAUCUCCCCCUUCAGGAACUCAGUGGCACAGCUGGAAUCAGCCAACAGCAAAGAGGACUCUGAGGAAGAGUCUGAGAGCACAGUGCUAUGACGCCACCGAGUUCCCCCACCCUCUCCGUCAAGCUACUGCUGCGCCGUCUCGAUCAUUCAUUGACCUUUCACCUCUCCAGCUGCAUUAACUUCGGCCUCAGCGGCCACCUCUGGACCUCCUCAUCACGCCUCACCUGUGCUCAAUCCAGAGGGGCCAGCGUGUACAAAAGAAAAAAGCACUUCUAUACAGUAAAAUAAAAAAAUCUGGUGAACACACAUACACACGGUUUUGGCGACAGUGUUGUCAGGGGAAGAUUUGACAUUUUGCAUUGGCUGGAUGUUUGUUUUUUUUAAUUUAACUUAAUGUUUUCUUUUUCUUUUUGCCUUAUUUGAUUCACUUGCAAUAUUGCCUUUAACCUCACUCACACGAGACUGGAAACAGGCUGCUGGGAGGAUGAGUGCUCUUUGCUGCUGCUGCUUUUCAUGAGUGAAUUUCAGAACAAACUAACACAGUGCUGUACAUCUGUCCUGUUAACUUCCUUCUCUCACCAUUCAUCUCCUCUUGGCUUGAAACGCCUCUGGCCCCGAAUUUCAGUCCCACUUGAGCGUUCACUGUGAGUGUGCCAGUGUGUCGUUUUGGAAAGCGCGCGUGUGUUUUGCUAGUGUGUGUGACGUGUUAAGUGAAGUGGUAAUUGUAUUAUAUGAUGUUGCACUGUCGGUGUCGUGGAGCAAAAACAGGAAUGAAUGUUUUAGAUGUUUAGAAGUUAACUAAGCAGGUUGGGAAGCAGUUAAACGCCCAAUCACUCCUUUCUCUUUAUAACAAGGCAUUCAGUCAGGAUAUCAGUCACUGGAUAUUUAUUGUUUAUACUGUACAUUUUCAGAGUGUAUGAUAUGAUUAACAAUCUAACUCAGAUCAUAUUUUGUAUCCACGGGAGAGCUAUAUAGUUGAUGCUGUCAGGGAGCUAUAAAGUAUAUGAGAUACAUGCUGUAGUUUAUGAAACGUCCAGCAGUAUGAAAAAUGAAAAACUCAAUUGUGUUUACUCAGAAAUAUUUUUUGGCAGGGCGCAAAGCCGCAUGAGAUCUUUCAUUUCUCUUUGUCGAGUUAGGCAUCAUUUCAGUUUCAAGGAUGUACAAGUUUGUAACUAUGAAGCCUGGAGUGCAUAACCACAUCGUUUAUUUUUUUAAAAUUAAAUAAAUUUCAUCUACAGAGCA